Seriola dumerili (greater amberjack) is the source of this 292-nucleotide long non-coding RNA. RefSeq lists it as uncharacterized. Lineage: Eukaryota; Metazoa; Chordata; Actinopteri; Carangiformes; Carangidae. The record is from RefSeq and is a predicted model, not a curated record. The transcript is spliced from 4 exons.
GAGAACUGAACGGAUGAACCAUCAUGUCAUUUAAAGUGGAUUUUUGCAUGAAGGACGAGUGACUGAUUUGCAUUCUAACCUUGUCCUCCUGUGGAAAGAAAUAGCUUCACGAAAACAAUAUAAUUGCAAACACAACAAGUGUUUCAAGUUUACAGAAGAAGGAACAUCUCAAGCUGUGGUGAAAAUAUCUAAUGCAAGAUAACUUCUUUGUGCAGGAACUGUAAAGCUCUGGAAGACAAGCAACACAAAACAGGAACUGGGCUGAAACAUCAGCUUCUUUCAACAGAGGGUC